This 473-nucleotide ribosomal RNA is filed under the name uncultured organism. RNAcentral's name for it is "partial 16S ribosomal RNA". It matches the Rfam family "Bacterial small subunit ribosomal RNA", at positions 334 to 799 of the family's 1533-position model. The record is from RNAcentral.
CACUCCUGCGGGAGGCAGCAGUAGGGAAUCUUCCACAAUGGGUGCAAACCUGAUGGAGCAAUGCCGCGUGAGUGAAGAAGGUCUUCGGAUCGUAAAGCUCUGUUGUUAGAGAAGAACACGUGCUAGGUAACUACUAGCGCCUUGACGGUAUCUAACCAGAAAGUCACGGCUAACUACGUGCCAGCAGCCGCGGUAAUACGUAGGUGACAAGCGUUGUCCGGAUUUAUUGGGCGUAAAGGGAGCGCAGGCGGUCUGUUUAGUCUAAUGUGAAAGCCCACGGCUUAACCGUGGAACGGCAUUGGAAACUGACAGACUUGAAUGUAGAAGAGGAAAAUGGAAUUCCAAGUGUAGCGGUGGAAUGCGUAGAUAUUUGGAGGAACACCAGUGGCGAAGGCGAUUUUCUGGUCUAACAUUGACGCUGAGGCUCGAAAGCGUGGGGAGCGAACAGGAUUAGAAACCCGGGUAGUCCCAUG